Molecule: non-coding RNA, 327 nt
Organism: Pelobates cultripes (western spadefoot toad)
Lineage: Eukaryota; Metazoa; Chordata; Amphibia; Anura; Pelobatidae
Source: the annotation of a GenBank genome assembly
UAUUUUAAUUCUGGUAGCCCCCAAAAUAUUGGGACAUAUAAAAAGAGACAACUCUGUUCCGCAGAGUAGCUGUUGACAUUAUAGUUGCGCAGGAACUUUGUUGACUCUAGAGAACCUCAGGCAAAUCGCAGAUCCCGUGGCGGUGACUUUGCAUGCGGAUGUCUUCCAUAUCAACUUUCGAUGCCAGUUUCUGCGCCCACCAUGGUGACCAUGGGUAACGGGGAAUCAGGUCUUCCAUUCCGUACAGGGACCCUGAGAAAUGGCUACCACAUGCAAAGAAGGCAGCAGGCGCGCAAAUGACCCACUCCCGACGCGGGAAGGUAGUGA